This is a long non-coding RNA of Panicum virgatum (switchgrass), 2206 nucleotides long. RefSeq lists it as uncharacterized. The record is from RefSeq and is a predicted model, not a curated record. The transcript has 2 exons. Lineage: Eukaryota; Viridiplantae; Streptophyta; Magnoliopsida; Poales; Poaceae.
GACCUUCAUCUGGUGCCGCACCUCCCUGUCCCCGCUCCGCUUCACCGGCGUUGUGGGCGCCACCUCGUCUCCCUCUCUCAUGUCCGGACGACGACGAUGGCAGCCUCACCUUCCUUCUCCGCAACAAAUCCGGCUGCCCCGCCGCUCGAGCCACGCGCCCCUAGGGCCGCAGUCUCCGUCAUCCUUUUCCUCGCGGCGAUCUGAUCCGAUUGAAGCCGGUUCUUGCGUCGCCGCUGCAUGAGCUCAUCUGAAUGUCGUCGCCGCCCCUACUCCGCGCGGGACCCUCGGCUCCCUGACUUGGCCUCGCUCUUCAUCCGCCACAAUGACCUCGCUACAUGCCGCCAGGACGGUGGGCAGGGCUGUCGUAGACGAGCGCGCGCAGCACCUGGCAGAGGCCACGCCCGCAGAGAGCAUAUGCACGGAGGGAGGACCGGAAGUCCCGUGCAUGAACGGCACAACACCUGCUCACCUUGCAGUAGUAGCAUCAGGAGCAUCGACCAUUGUUUUCACGGCUGUAGUUCAUCCAACAUAAACCAAAGGUUAUUUCAGCUCUGACAAUGUUACUACAUCACUCUGCACACACGCAGGAGUAUGGCUGGUGACCGCAUGCUAUAAGUUCCUCUCCAUGGCUAAGUGAGGCAGUACAUGGCCAGACAGCUUGAGGUCGUGCGCUAUGUCAUGAAGUUUACUAUUACUAGGGUAUUGUGUUUCUUGCUGCUUGAAUCUUCCCAAGGUGAAUACUCAAAAUUCUUUGCUGAUAGCCUUACACUGGAGUAUAGUGAAAGAAUGAAACAAGUUUACAGUAAGGCUUGCAACUUAAUGUUAGUGAUGUUUAAUAUAUAUUUAUCGAAAGUAGCACAUCAAAAAAAAUUUGUUCUUUCCUGGAUGAUUAAAUUUAGAAUUUCUACAUUAAUUUACUUCUGAGCGUAUCAUCAGGCGAGGAGGACAACUGAAUCUGCUCUGUCAGUUGUGUCGAGCAAUGGAUGAAUCAACAGUGCACAUUAUGGCCAAGUGCUCAUAUGCAGAAGAAUUGUGGAAUCUGGUGAUGAUACAUAAUCAACUGGUGAUCCCGCAGCUGACUUAUGUGCACCAAAUCAAAAAAUGGUGGGCCGGAAUGACUGCCGCACAUAUUUGUACUUUUGUGCAUAAUCUUCUUUUUCUUUCGAUUACCCAAAUUGUAAAUAAUUUGCUUCCUACUACAAUGCAAGAGCAGAGCACCUGCUAUUUUCCUAAAAAAAAAUCUCAUUAAGAGGUUGGUACUGCCUGUUAUAUGUGAUUCUGAUAUUUGUCCUGUUUAUCCUUAAAUUUUGUUUUCUUGGAACAAUCUUUAGAUUGAUGUUAGAUAAAUUGCUCACCAUUAUCACCAAGAAAUCAUGCAUCUGCAUUUAAAAGGAAAUAUACAUGCCGAUGCAUGAUCCGUAUGUGUUAGUGUUCCUACAUCCUACAUCCUUAUAUGCUUUCCAAUAUCAUAGUAUCUUUAUGGUACGUAAGAAAAAAUGAUCUUCCUGUACUAAUGUCCCAUUAUGAGCAAAACUUUCCAGUUCUGCUAGAUAGUUAGUUGUACCAAAUAGAAUAAUUUAUUGGAUCCAGGUUUUCACCCUAGUAUACUCAUAUUUCUGCUUAUACAUUUGAUGCAUUAUACAUGUUUUUGCUUAUACUUUUCUGAUCUUUUAUUCAUUUAUAGUGGAAAUACCAUUGAAUUAUACUUCAUUACGCAAUGCAAGAGUUCUUAAAUGAAUUCCAUCAUACAAAGAACAUAUACUGAUACACCCAUAUUACCAAUAAUUAAUCACAAGUGAUCUACAAAAGUCCAGGCUCAACUGGCGCGGCAACGCCACGCCCCAGGUUUUCUAGUGGAACCCAUAGCUGACAACACUCUUCUUCUCUUCGUUUUUACAUCUCCUAAACGUGCUGUUCAUUUUUCCGCCUGGAUUUUUUUUAUUUCGCACAGGACAUUGGGUGGCCCAAAGCCUAUGCAUAUGGCCCGAUGCGCAUGCGCACAACAUUGGGCCAUGGUCCAUGACCAUAAGCACCGCACAGGAGUCAGCCCGCGUAAGCUAAGGCCUGCUCUGCUCUGCUGACCCUGUUUUGAUCCGUUCCUUCUUCAACAUUUGGCUGGGUGAUGUACCUGAACAUGUUGCUGUAAUGGUGUCCACUGACCUACCUGGACACAGUGCUUAUUGGAAAUAUUUUCUAUCUCAAAAAA